RNAcentral lists this ribosomal RNA (99 nucleotides) under Acanthosepion pharaonis. Lineage: Eukaryota; Metazoa; Mollusca; Cephalopoda; Sepiida; Sepiidae. The record is from RNAcentral.
CAUUGAAGCACCACUUCCAGUAUGAUCACUGAAGGUAAGCAACAUUGAGCCUGGUCAGUACCUAGAAUGGUGACUGCUUGGGAAUACCAGGUGCUGUAA